AGGGCGCACGGUGGAUGCCUUGGCACUAGAAGCCGAUGAAGGACGUUACUAACGACGAUAUGCUUUGGGGAGCUGUAAGUAAGCUUUGAUCCAGAGAUUUCCGAAUGGGGAAACCCAGCAUGAGUUAUGUCAUGUUAUCGAUAUGUGAAUACAUAGCAUAUCAGAAGGCACACCCGGAGAACUGAAACAUCUUAGUACCCGGAGGAAGAGAAAGAAAAUUCGAUUCCCUUAGUAGCGGCGAGCGAAACGGGAAGAGCCCAAACCAACAAGCUUGCUUGUUGGGGUUGUAGGACACUCUAUACGGAGUUACAAAGGACGACAUUAGACGAAUCAUCUGGAAAGAUGAAUCAAAGAAGGUAAUAAUCCUGUAGUCGAAAAUGUUGUCUCUCUUGAGUGGAUCCUGAGUACGACGGAGCACGUGAAAUUCCGUCGGAAUCUGGGAGGACCAUCUCCUAAGGCUAAAUACUCUCUAGUGACCGAUAGUGAACCAGUACCGUGAGGGAAAGGUGAAAAGCACCCCGGAAGGGGAGUGAAAUAGAACCUGAAACCGUGUGCUUACAAGUAGUCAGAGCCCGUUAAUGGGUGAUGGCGUGCCUUUUGUAGAAUGAACCGGCGAGUUACGAUUUGAUGCAAGGUUAAGCAGUAAAUGUGGAGCCGUAGCGAAAGCGAGUCUGAAUAGGGCGUUUAGUAUUUGGUCGUAGACCCGAAACCAGGUGAUCUACCCUUGGUCAGGUUGAAGUUCAGGUAACACUGAAUGGAGGACCGAACCGACUUACGUUGAAAAGUGAGCGGAUGAACUGAGGGUAGCGGAGAAAUUCCAAUCGAACCUGGAGAUAGCUGGUUCUCUCCGAAAUAGCUUUAGGGCUAGCCUCAAGUGAUGAUUAUUGGAGGUAGAGCACUGUUUGGACGAGGGGCCCCUCUCGGGUUACCGAAUUCAGACAAACUCCGAAUGCCAAUUAAUUUAACUUGGGAGUCAGAACAUGGGUGAUAAGGUCCGUGUUCGAAAGGGAAACAGCCCAGACCACCAGCUAAGGUCCCAAAAUAUAUGUUAAGUGGAAAAGGAUGUGGCGUUGCCCAGACAACUAGGAUGUUGGCUUAGAAGCAGCCAUCAUUUAAAGAGUGCGUAAUAGCUCACUAGUCGAGUGACACUGCGCCGAAAAUGUACCGGGGCUAAACAUAUUACCGAAGCUGUGGAUUGUCCUUUGGACAAUGGUAGGAGAGCGUUCUAAGGGCGUUGAAGCAUGAUCGUAAGGACAUGUGGAGCGCUUAGAAGUGAGAAUGCCGGUGUGAGUAGCGAAAGACGGGUGAGAAUCCCGUCCACCGAUUGACUAAGGUUUCCAGAGGAAGGCUCGUCCGCUCUGGGUUAGUCGGGUCCUAAGCUGAGGCCGACAGGCGUAGGCGAUGGAUAACAGGUUGAUAUUCCUGUACCACCUAUA
Molecule: ribosomal RNA, 1436 nt
Filed under: Staphylococcus aureus
Lineage: Bacteria; Bacillati; Bacillota; Bacilli; Caryophanales; Staphylococcaceae
Description: partial 23S ribosomal RNA
Rfam family: Bacterial large subunit ribosomal RNA
Source: RNAcentral